CCAAUAGCGUAUAUUAAAGUUGUUGCAGUUAAAAAGCUCGUAGUUGAACUUCGGGAUUUGCCCAUUGGUCAGGCUUAACUGUCUGCACUGGUGUGACGAGUUCCUACCUUCUGAGGAAUCUCCAUGUCAUUCAGUUGGUGUGGGGGGAAAUCAGGACUGUUACUUUGAAAAAAUUAGAGUGUUUAAAGCAGGCGUCCGUCUGAAUACAUUAGCAUGGAAU
Molecule: ribosomal RNA, 220 nt
Filed under: uncultured Diversispora
Lineage: Eukaryota; Fungi; Glomeromycota; Glomeromycetes; Diversisporales; Diversisporaceae
Description: partial small subunit ribosomal RNA
Rfam family: Eukaryotic small subunit ribosomal RNA
Source: RNAcentral